RNAcentral lists this ribosomal RNA (252 nucleotides) under uncultured bacterium. Its description in RNAcentral is "partial 16S ribosomal RNA". It matches the Rfam family "Bacterial small subunit ribosomal RNA", at positions 524 to 776 of the family's 1533-position model. The record is from RNAcentral.
UACGGAGGAUGCGAGCGUUAUCCGGAUUUAUUGGGUUUAAAGGGUGCGUAGGCGGGCAUUUAAGCCGGCGGUCAAAUCGCGGGGCUCAACCCCGCCCAGCCGUCGGAACUGCCGGGCUAGAGUGGGCGAGAAGUGCGCGGAAUGCGUGGUGUAGCAGUGAAAUGCAUAGAUAUCACGCAGAACUCCGAUUGCGAAGGCAGCGCACCGGCGCCCUACUGACGCUCAGGCACGAAAGCGUGGGUAUCGAACAGG